CGGCACGGGUGAGUAACACGUAUCCAACCUGCCGUCUACUCUUGGACAGCCUUCUGAAAGGAAGAUUAAUACAAGAUGGCAUCAUGAGUCCGCAUGUUCACAUGAUUAAAGGUAUUCCGGUAGACGAUGGGGAUGCGUUCCAUUAGAUAGUAAGCGGGGUAACGGCCCACCUAGUCUUCGAUGGAUAGGGGUUCUGAGAGGAAGGUCCCCCACAUUGGAACUGAGACACGGUCCAA
This 236-nucleotide ribosomal RNA is filed under the name uncultured bacterium. Its description in RNAcentral is "partial 16S ribosomal RNA". It matches the Rfam family "Bacterial small subunit ribosomal RNA", at positions 100 to 334 of the family's 1533-position model. The record is from RNAcentral.